GACGAACGCUGGCGGCGUGCCUAAUACAUGCAAGUUGAGCGAUGAAGAUUGGUGCUUGCACCAAUUUGAAGAGCAGCGAACGGGUGAGUAACGCGUGGGGAAUCUGCCUUUGAGCGGGGGACAACAUUUGGAAACGAAUGCUAAUACCGCAUAAUAACUUUAAACAUAAGUUUUAAGUUUGAAAGAUGCAAUUGCAUCACUCAAAGAUGAUCCCGCGUUGUAUUAGCUAGUUGGUGAGGUAAAGGCUCACCAAGGCGAUGAUACAUAGCCGACCUGAGAGGGUGAUCGGCCACAGUGGGACUGAGACACGGCCCAAACUCCUACGGGAGGCAGCAGUAGGGAAUCUUCGGCAAUGGACGAAAGUCUGACCGAGCAACGCCGCGUGAGGGAAGAAGGUUUUCGGAUCGUAAAACUCUGUUGGUAGAGAAGAACGUUGGUGAGAGUGGAAAGCUCAUCAAGUGACGGUAACUACCCAGAAAGGGACGGCUAACUACGUG
RNAcentral lists this ribosomal RNA (497 nucleotides) under uncultured bacterium. RNAcentral describes it as "partial 16S ribosomal RNA". It matches the Rfam family "Bacterial small subunit ribosomal RNA", at positions 28 to 507 of the family's 1533-position model. The record is from RNAcentral.